Molecule: ribosomal RNA, 446 nt
Filed under: uncultured organism
Description: partial 16S ribosomal RNA
Rfam family: Bacterial small subunit ribosomal RNA
Source: RNAcentral
CACUCCUGCGGGAGGCAGCAGUGGGGAAUAUUGGACAAUGGGCGCAAGCCUGAUCCAGCCAUGCCGCGUGAGUGAUGAAGGCCCUAGGGUUGUAAAGCUCUUUCACCGGUGAAGAUAAUGACGGUAACCGGAGAAGAAGCCCCGGCUAACUUCGUGCCAGCAGCCGCGGUAAUACGAAGGGGGCUAGCGUUGUUCGGAUUUACUGGGCGUAAAGCGCACGUAGGCGGACUAUUAAGUCAGGGGUGAAAUCCCGGGGCUCAACCCCGGAACUGCCUUUGAUACUGGUAGUCUUGAGUUCGAGAGAGGUGAGUGGAAUUCCGAGUGUAGAGGUGAAAUUCGUAGAUAUUCGGAGGAACACCAGUGGCGAAGGCGGCUCACUGGCUCGAUACUGACGCUGAGGUGCGAAAGCGUGGGGAGCAAACAGGAUUAGAUACCCGGGUAGUCCC